AUUACCGCGGCUGCUGGCACGGAGUUAGCCGGAGCUUAUUCUCCCGGUACUGUCAUUAUCAUCCCGGGUAAAAGAGCUUUACAACCCUAAGGCCUUCAUCACUCACGCGGCAUUGCUGGAUCAGGCUUUCGCCCAUUGUCCAAUAUUCCCCACUGCUGCCUCCCGUAGG
This 169-nucleotide ribosomal RNA is filed under the name uncultured bacterium. Its description in RNAcentral is "partial 16S ribosomal RNA". The record is from RNAcentral.